GGACUUGCCCCUUCGGGGACAAGUUUAGUGGCGGACGGGUGAGUAACGCGUGAGCAACCUACCUUUCAGUGGGGGACAACAGUUGGAAACGACUGCUAAUACCGCAUAACACUUAUUUAGGGCAUCUUAAAUAAGUCAAAGAUUUAUUGCUGGAAGAUGGGCUCGCGUCUGAUUAGCUAGUUGGUGGGGUAACGGCCCACCAAGGCGACGAUCAGUAGCCGGACUGAGAGGUUGAACGGCCACAUUGGGACUGAGAUACGGCCCAGACUCCUACGGGAGGCAGCAGUGGGGAAUAUUGGGCAAUGGGGGAAACCCUGACCCAGCAACGCCGCGUGAAGGAAGAAGGCCUUCGGGUUGUAAACUUCUUUUACCAGGGACGAAGGACGUGACGGUACCUGGAGAAAAAGCCACGGCUAACUACGUGCCAGCAGCCGCGGUAAUACGUAGGUGGCAAGCGUUGUCCGGAUUUACUGGGUGUAAAGGGCGUGUAGGCGGAGCUGCAAGUCAGAUGUGAAAUCUCCGGGCUUAACCCGGAAACUGCAUUUGAAACUGUAGUCCUUGAGUAUCGGAGAGGCAAGCGGAAUUCCUAGUGUAGCGGUGAAAUGCGUAGAUAUUAGGAGGAACACCAGUGGCGAAGGCGGCUUGCUGGACGACAACUGACGCUGAGGCGC
This 671-nucleotide ribosomal RNA is filed under the name uncultured Lachnospiraceae bacterium. RNAcentral describes it as "bacterial SSU rRNA". It matches the Rfam family "Bacterial small subunit ribosomal RNA", at positions 68 to 754 of the family's 1533-position model. Lineage: Bacteria; Bacillati; Bacillota; Clostridia; Lachnospirales; Lachnospiraceae. The record is from RNAcentral.